Long non-coding RNA from Pseudopipra pipra, 674 nucleotides. RefSeq lists it as uncharacterized. Lineage: Eukaryota; Metazoa; Chordata; Aves; Passeriformes; Pipridae. The record is from RefSeq and is a predicted model, not a curated record. The transcript has 4 exons.
AUAUACAUUUUAAAGUUUCAAAUGCUGUUCCUAAUCCUUUGUUGGCUUGAGGCUCUCCCCUCAGGAACUGCAGGAACUCCUGGUGCCGCCUGGGCCGAUGGAUUGGACGCCCCAGCCCCUCCGUUCCUGCCCAGCCCCUGGGGCCGUGUCGAGUGGUGGCACUGCCAGCCCUGCAGGGGAAGUGGGAAGGGCCUUUGCAGGUCUUGUGGGUCACAUUUACAGCAGUGGGAUGGAGCCUGGAAACUGCACAGAGCUGAGCCCAGGGAUUGAAAGGGACCAACCAAGGGAGGUGAAGAAAGAAGGAAGAAGGGAAGUGAGGCAGCAGGCAAGCAGCACCAAGUUGCUGUGUAAGCAGGAGAAAAUGGGGCAAGCGGGCAGGAAGAAGAGAAGCCCCGUGACUCCUCCCUGAGCCCCAGACAGCCCCUGAACUGCCUUCCUGGGAAUGGUGGGACGGGCUGGACUCUGGAUUACUCCCUCUGCAUGUGUGGCUCUCCCCUCAGGAACUGCAGGAACUCCUGGUGCCGCCUGGGCCGAUGGAUUGGACGCCCCAGCCCCUCCGUUCCUGCCCAGCCCCUGGGGCCGUGUCCAGUGGUGGCACUGCCAGCCCUGCAGGGGAAGUGGGAAGGGCCUUUGCAGGUCUUGUGGGUCACAUUUACAGCAGGUAAAGUUGCAGA